This 497-nucleotide ribosomal RNA is filed under the name uncultured bacterium. RNAcentral describes it as "partial 16S ribosomal RNA". It matches the Rfam family "Bacterial small subunit ribosomal RNA", at positions 28 to 507 of the family's 1533-position model. The record is from RNAcentral.
GAUGAACGCUGGCGGCGUGCCUAAUACAUGCAAGUCGAGCGAACGGACGAGAAGCUUGCUUCUCUGAUGUUAGCGGCGGACGGGUGAGUAACACGUGGAUAACCUACCUAUAAGACUGGGAUAACUUCGGGAAACCGUAGCUAAUACCGGAUAAUAUUUUGAACCGCAUGGUUCAAAAGUGAAAGACGGUCUUGCUGUCACUUAUAGAUGGAUCCGCGCUGCAUUAGCUAGUUGGUAAGUUAACGGCUUACCAAGGCAACGAUGCAUAGCCGACCUGAGAGGGUGAUCGGCCACACGGGAACUGAGACACGGUCAAGACUCCUACGGGAGGCAGCAGUAGGGAAUCUUCCGCAAUGGGCGAAAGCCUGACGGAGCAACGCCGCGUGAGUGAUGAAGGUCUUCGGAUCGUAAAACUCUGUUAUUAGGGAAGAACAUAUGUGUAAGUAACUGUGCACAUCUUGACGGUACCUAAUCAGAAAGCCACGGCUAACUACGUG